AAGAAGUAUGUGUUUGUUUAUUAAUGCUGGGUUUGUCUUUGCACCUUGGCUGUCUUCUAUCUUACGGAUCACGUUUUGCUUUUCUAGAAAGUGCCCCAGCAACAGAUCCUGAUAUGUGCAAAAGGAAGUCUGGUUUAAGCACAGACGAGGAGGAAGUACUUAUGUUGCCAGUUAAAGGCCGUGAGCGCUAUAACAUGUUAAAAAAGAUAAAUGAUGCAUUAGAACUGGCUGAAAAAGAGGCUAAAAACAAAACCAGGGCUUCUAAGGAACUGCUGCCGUCCAGUGGAAAGUGCGUCUUGCAAAAAGCAGAACGAAGCGACAGCGACUAGUUGCAAUCUGCCUUCUUUUAACCGCCAUGUACGAGUGAUGAUGAUGAUGAUGAUGAUGAUGAUGAUGAUGAUGAUGAUGAUGAUGAUGCAAGCAGACAGCUGCGUGCAAGGGCUGACCAUUUUAAACGAAAAAUAAAACAGACCAAACAGGCAAAAA
Betta splendens (Siamese fighting fish) is the source of this 486-nucleotide long non-coding RNA. RefSeq lists it as uncharacterized. Lineage: Eukaryota; Metazoa; Chordata; Actinopteri; Anabantiformes; Osphronemidae. The transcript is spliced from 3 exons. The record is from RefSeq and is a predicted model, not a curated record.